Molecule: long non-coding RNA, 464 nt
Organism: Lathyrus oleraceus (garden pea)
Lineage: Eukaryota; Viridiplantae; Streptophyta; Magnoliopsida; Fabales; Fabaceae
Exons: 3
Source: RefSeq, a predicted model, not a curated record
GUGGAUUGACAUUGACUGAGACUGCUGGAGAUCUUGCAAUAGCAGCUGCAAUUUGCAGCAGUUUCCUGGAGUACCCUAUUCCAAAGGGCAUUGCUUUCAUUGGUGAAAUUGGUCUUAGUGGAGAGCUUCGCACGGUUCCUAGAAUCGACAAAAGAGUACACGCAUUGGCAAAGUUGGGUUACAAAACCUGUGUAGUACCAAAGCAAGCAGUAAAAGCUUUAGGAACUGAAGGUCUAGAAAAUAUUAAAAUAGUAGGAUGCAAGAAUCUGAAGGAGUUUAUUAAUGUAGUAUUCAGUAGAUAAAUACAAUUAAAACAAGCUGCUAAAAUUGUGCAGAUCUCUUUGUUUUGUAAGAUGUACAAUUUGACACUUUCAGAAGUUUGUAAAUAUAGAUAUACUAUAGUUCUGUUUGUCUUGUGUCAAUUAUGUAAUUUGUUGUUACAAGCAUUAAAUUUGCUGAAGUAA